Molecule: long non-coding RNA, 340 nt
Filed under: Homo sapiens (human)
Lineage: Eukaryota; Metazoa; Chordata; Mammalia; Primates; Hominidae
Description: non-protein coding lnc-HPS4-8:1
Source: RNAcentral
AAAAACAAAAAAAAACAGUCACAUAGGAAGGAAAUACUCUGCCUUGAUGAUAGGAACUCCAAGGUCACAUGACAACCCAAGGGCAUAGGGAGAGAUGAAUUACUGGGGCCAUGAUUACAAUUUGCCACACUCAUUGCCAUUGGACAAACCAUCUCAACAAUAUCAGCCACAGACACUGACUCACUUUACCAAGGGUGAGGCCACUGUGCUUUAAGGGACUGCAUCCUCCAAUGUCCUUCCACCUUUUGCUGCAGAACCUCUUUAUGCAUAAGCUGAGGAUCAAGGGAAGACCAAGGGCUUUUGGUAAAUGCAGCCAUGUCUUCCCCUACCCUUUGCAGCA